Long non-coding RNA from Chelonia mydas (Green sea turtle), 8299 nucleotides. RefSeq lists it as uncharacterized. The transcript is spliced from 3 exons. NCBI's taxonomy places the organism in Eukaryota, Metazoa, Chordata, Testudines, Cheloniidae. The record is from RefSeq and is a predicted model, not a curated record.
CCACAGGGAGGAGGAACACAAGGAGCAGGGAGACAGAAAGGCAGGGGAAGCCAUGAUGGAUCUCACAGAGACACAAACAAGGGGGCCAAGCCUGCACCGUAACCGCCCGGACUUGGGGUUUGUCAGCAGCUUUUUGGGGAUCCCCAGCACAGGAUGAUCCUGAAAACAUAGGAAGCUCAGAGAUGUGAAGUGGCCCAUUCAUCUGAAUGUGAUGGUCUCUGCUGAAUCAGAACAUUCCAUGGAGAUGAAUACACCUUGAAACAAUAGCUCUGAGAUGUGUGAACUUCUCCCUUCAUCUCAAUGGGUGUCCCAUCCCCAUUCCUGAAAGUUUGAGAGCAUGGGAUAUACAUCAAGCAUGCCCACUCCCAACUCUUCAUCCCCAUCUCAGCAGUGUGUUCUUGACACAUGGCUCUCCGUAUGCCUGUUCUGAGCUCCCCACCCAGUACAGGGCUUCCCCAGAUCCCCACAGCCCCCCACAUUCUCCUCCAGUUCUGAUCCAGCCCCCUCAGGUCUUCCUAACACCCGUCCAGCCUCCUUGAGUCCCCCAGCUCCAAUCUAGUCAUCCCUCCUGCCCCCCUUUCCUGAUCCACCCCUUUAGCCCUGUUUUAAGCCCCCCACAAGCCGUCCCCUAGACCUCCUCUCAGUUCCCUCCAGCUCUGCCCCAACUCCCCCCACUCCCCCCAUCCUCCCAUCUCUGAUCUAAAUCCCCCAAGGGUGCUCCAACUCACUUCUCCCACCCUCAGUAUCUCUGAUCCCGCCCCCCAGCUCUACCCACUUCUGCUCCAUCCUCCCCGCCCCAAACUCCCUUCCCUCAAUCCCUCCCAGUUCCCCCUGCUCCUCCACUCCAUACAAAGCAGCCAAAGCUUUUCCCUUAAACUCUGUCUCUAGGGGGCUGUGUCUCCUGUCUCUACUCUACCAUGUUCCCAUGCAUUCCCCAGCACUAUGAUCUCCCCAUGCCUUCUCCACACACCCUUGCUGGCUACUCACAACUGGGGCCCAGGGUUGCCCCAGCUACAGGGGCCCCUCAGCCCAGCCCCCUCUGCCCUGGGGGGCCAGCACACUUCUCCUGGCAGCCCCGUCUGCUGCGGUGCAACACAGCUCACCUUCUUCUGGACUGGCAGUGGCAUGAAGGGGGAUACGUGUCUGUGGCUAGAUCCGAGAGCCCUCCAUGGCUAGCAGCCCUUUGUACCACCAGCACAAACAGCCCAUCCCCUGUCCUGAUUGCCAGACCCCUGGGUUCUAUCUACUGGGGAUAAUCUGUGUAUACACUCCUGUUAGAUUUCGAGGCAGUGGGUAUACAGGCUCCAGGAUGCUUGGGUCCUACCCACUGCACCAACCAGGGGUGCAGUUCCCUUACAUCUCCAGACAGGGGAUGGCACCCCCAUUCCUGUUGUCUCUCUGUCCUCAUGGGUUCUAAAUUGAAAUCAUAUUCUGACUGGGCCCCCAUAAUCUCGUGAUGCCUGGCGUGAUUGCACCACUUUAGUUAUGCUAGUGGGCUAUAUCUUAGGGACCCCUUGGUUAAGUGAUCCCAAAUCUGGAUCAGUAACCCUCACCCCCAUGAGGCACACAAAAUUUCAAGGCAAUUUGAAUAACCAUGCAUAUUUUAGAGCUUGUCUUAAACUUAAUUAAUUAUAACUACAGCAGUGGCAAGUUCCCUGCUAUAAUAGACAAGACACAAAACGGGAGGGAGGGGAAACAAGCACAGAGAGGUGAUCUGACUUGCCCAAGGUUACACAAGAGGUCAGUAGAGCUAGGAACAGAACUGGCCCACCUGAAAUGCAGGCCAGUACCUAUCCACUAGGAGAUUAUAGUGCCUCUCAAUAUAUACAACUAUAUGUGUCUAAUGCACAGUGGUUUCUGGCUGCUAAUCUACACUGGGAUCUUUGUCUUGAUUAAGUCACAAGAUAGCUCCAUGCCUGCGUUUUUCCAUCUGUAGAAAGAGUAUAAUAUAGAGGAGAAGAAAUUGUAAUUCUUAAUCAGCAUUUAUAACUUUGGAUAAGUAAAUUAAAAGUGAUAUUAGAGUAUGUUUUAUUAUGAACUGUCAAUCUUGUUUCUUUGUUAAAGUAAGAUUAACAUGGCAAAAUUAAACACAAAAAAGUUCGGAAAUGAAAAAGGUAAGAUUCUAACAGUAAAUUGCCCAUACUUUAUAUUAAUAUUUACUCUGUAUUAACAACUCUAUCAUAUUAAUAUUAUAGAGUUAGGCCCAAGCUGCAAAGUGCAGAUGUACGUAGAAGAAACAUCCUUUAAACAAACGUUUUCUUAAUCUUAACUGUAGCAGAGCUAAUGUUCCGCUAUAAUUGUGUGUGAAAUUAAUCAUUAUCUGAUGAGAACCAAAUUUUCCAAAAUUCAGGUGGUCUGAUUCAGGGUCUUAGUUUGACCCAUUAUGACAGGAGCUAGCCAGUAUGUUCAGCUGGAGGUGACUAGAAUUUGUUUGGGCCCAUCACUACUAAUUAGUCAAUGGAAUGUGGAGGCAAAUUAGUGUGGCUCAGAUUGAAGUCCUAAUCUUUUUGUGUUUUUAGUUGUAUGUACUUAUAAACUGUGAUUUUUUUCAACACCACUCCCCCAAGAGGCAUGGAGUCAAAGGCAAUGUACUUAGGUUUACACAGUGUCAGCGUAGACACCGUGUUACUUUCAUCGACUGUUACUGGCCUCCAGAAGCUGUCCCACAAUGCCGCACAGUGACCACUCUGAUCAUCAUUGUGAACUCCACUGCCCAGAGGCCUCUCCCCUUUAAAGCCUUGCGAAUUUUUGAAAUUCCUUUUCUUUGUUGCUCAACUUGGCAAGCAUACCUAGCAAUUCUCCAUUGUUGUAUGCAACUGCCCAGCUGACCAUGCCACCUACACUUGCAGACGUGCUCCUGCCUGGAGUGCACAGGAGGUGUUGGUUGGGUCUCCUGGGUCUGUGGCGAGAAGAGGCUGUACAUACACAGUUCCGAUCCAGCCAUACAAAUGUGGACAUCUACAAGCAGAUUGCUCUGGGCAUGCGGGAGAAAGGCUACAACAGGGACCAACAACAGUGCCGUGUGAAAGCUAAGGAGCUGUGGCAGGCAUACCAAAAGGCAAGAGAGGCCAACAAUUGAUCUGGUGCAGAGCCGCAGACCUGCUGCUUUUACAAAGAACUGCAUGCCACCCUCAGUGGAGACCCCGCCAUCAUCCCCAAAGCCCCAUGGAUACUUCGGAGAAGCCUGAGACACAGGCCCCUACUAUGAACAGCGAGGAGGAGGAGGAGAUGGAUGAGGAGCAUGGGGAACAGGCUACUGGUGAUACAGCUGCACAGCAAGCCAGGAUGUGUUUUUGGCUUCACUGUAAAUUACAGGGAUGGAACCCCCAAAGUAGCAGGACACAUCUGUUGAUUUACUCUUUUUUACUUGUGCUAGAAGAAGUAGUGAAACAACGAAGAGAGGUUGAAUUGCUAUCUGCUUGUCAUUCCCCUCUAGAGUUAGGCGGUGGGGAGGGGGCGGAGAAGGGGGGCAAUGCGGACCAGUUUGUUUAUGUGCACCGGGAUGUCCUGUGAAUCCUCCAAAAAGAUCUCAGUUAAGCUUUCAUGGAGGUACUCUGCAAUCCUCUGCCAAAGGUUCCUGGGGAGGGCUGCCUUAUUUCUUCCUCUAUGGUAAGACACUUUCCUGUGCCAUUUAGCGAUUACUUCAGCAGGGACCACUGCAGUACACAGACUAGCAGCAUACGGGCGCAGGCAGCAUCGGGAUGCCAGCAGCAGCUGUGCUCUCUCUGGCUUUGUUACCUUCAGGAGUAAGAUAUCAGCUAAAAUCAGCACUGCCUGUGGAAAAUGGUGUCAGUAUUCAGCUCUACUGCUCUAUACACAUAUACUCAUGCCUCUGAGGCCAUGUCUACACUACCCGCCGGAUCAGCGAAUAGUGAUCGAUCUAUCGGGGAUCGAUUUAUCAUGUCUAGUGUAGACGCGAUAAAUCAAUCCCUGAUCGCUCUGCUGUCGACUCCGAAACUACACCACAACGAGAGGCGGAAGCGGAGUCGAUGGGGGAGCGGCCAUUGAUCCUGCGCCACGAGGACGCAAACUGAUGCCAUUGUGGCCUUGAGGGUCUCCCCCUCCACACCCAUGGAACAUCUGAGGCAGAUAAGGAGGAGAAAGAAGAGGACUUGGGAUGACAUGUUCCAGGAGAUGCUGCAAGCCAGUGUUGCAUCAGAGAAUGACACCAGGGCCUGGAGGAUGACCCUUGCAGACAGCAUGCAGAAGGCAAGAGUGGAGAGAAGGAAGGCCCAGGAAUCCAAGCUGGAAAAGGAGAGGGAGAUGCACCAGGACAUAAUGGGGCUUCUCAGGCAGCAAACAGAGAUGCUGCAGACUCUGGUAGACCUGCGCUCAAGAGUCCUGUGCUGGCCUCCCUCUGCAGCCCAUAGACAACUCAAUGUCCGGACCUCCCUACACCUCCCCUCAGCAUUCCAUAUGCCAUUAAGAGCUGCUGCACUACCCCUACCACUCCACCCCGAGGAACAUUAAAGACAAUCACAAGUGCACAUACACUGACCUGUGAAAGACAUGGUUGGUGUAUGUGUACCUGAAAUGGAAUGACUGUUCUUUCCCCUUCAUUUUUGAAUUUCUGUUCCCUUAAUUUUUUAUGGUUUAUAAAGUGCUAAAUAGUUGUUUUAUUUUCCUGGCUCAUGUUACAGAAUACAAUUCUAUUUUUUGGAACAUAAUUCAUCUUUAUUAAUUCACAACAUAUGCUGACUGGUGCUGAGCAGGGCUGACGUCGACCAAUUUCCUGUUACUUUAUUUUAUCACAGAACACAUAACAUCAAUCUCAGACAGUAUUAACAGGUGCAUUGUCAAUGUUAUAUUCCUACACGUAGCACUCACUGCAAGAUUCAUACUGGGCUGCAAAAGAGCAAGGCUUGUUAGAGCACACUACAGCGCCACACACUACUCUGGCUCACUAUUAAAAUGUUCUUUCAAAGCCUCCCUGAGCUGUAUAGCUCCACAUUGAGCUCUUCUAAUAAACCUUGUGUCUGGCUGUUCAAAUUCACCUGACAGCUGCUCCACCUCUGCCCUCCAUCCCAGCAAAACUUUCCCCGCUUUGCGUCACAGAUAUUAUGCAGAACACAGCAGGCAGAUAUAACCAUUGGGAUAUUUUUCUCACUGAAGUCUAAUCUUGUGAGUAAACAAUGCCAAAGGCACAUUCGACUGUCAUGCUGCACCUGCUGAACUGGUAGUUGAAUUAUUCCUUGGUGCUGUCGAGGUUGCCGGUGUACAGCUUCAUGAGCCAUGGGAGCUAGCGGUAUGCUGGGGGGGGAAGAAAGUCCCUGCUGGUCAGGAAAGAAAGUCCCUGCUUGCAGAUUUCUGAACAUUCCUGGGUUCUUAAAGAUGUGCACGUCAUACACCUCCCCUGACCAGUCCACACUGAUGUCGGUAAUGUAUCCGUGGUGAUCCACCAGCACUUGUAUUACCAUGGAAAAGUAGCCCUUUCUGUUGAUGUACUCUGUGGCAAGGUGGUCUGGUGGUAAAAUAGGGAUAUGUGUACCAUCUAGCACCACAUGUAGGUUGGGAAUCCCAUUGCUGAAAAACCAUCCACUAUGCCCUGCACAUUGCCCAGAGUCACAAUCCUGCAUAGCAGCAGUCAAUUAAUGGCCUAGCACACUUCCAUGACAGCCACCCCUGCGGUGGAUUUCCCGAUUCCAAAUUGAUUCUCGACUGUCUGGUAACAAUCUGGCAUUGCAAGUUUCCACAGUGCAAUCGCCACUCGCUUUCCAGCUGUCAGUGUGGCUCUCAUUUUGGUGACCCUAUGCUGGAGGGUUGAGGGAGUUUGGCAUACAGAUCCAGGAAUAUGGCCUUGUGCAUUUGAAAGUUCUGCAGCACUGCUUGUUAUCCCAAACCUGCAUCACAUUGCAAUCCCACCAGUCAGUGCUUGCCUCUUGGGCCCAGAACUGGCACUCCACUGUCUGCAGUUGCUCCAUGAAUGCUGCCAACAACCUUGAAUUGUUUCUUUCUGUGGCUCACAGCAAUCAAGCCUCCAAGAAAUUGUCAUGUUCCCUAUGGCUCCUCUUGCAGCUCUGCAACACUGCAGGAUCAGAUGCCCUGUGCUUGAAAUGCUCAUGACAAUAGUGCAGAGCUGUGCAGGCUCCAUGCUUCUGUCAGCAAUGGUGGACAGCAAGGAAGGACACACAGGUUUGUGGGGAUUUUGAAAAGAGGCAUCAAAUAUUAUGGGAUGCAGAUGAAAUUAUGGGGUGGAGAACACUGCAUUGUGGGAAGUUGAACUCAUGCUCCCAGUCACCCCUGCAUGACUCAUUUCAGCCCCAGAAGGCAUUGUGCAAACUUUCCACAACACCCUGUGCUAGAUGGUGGUGAGUUGCACAGUGGGAUAGUUACCCAUGGUGCACUGCAUUCUGCAUCGAUACAAGCGCUCCUGGUGACGAUGCGCACCGCCAACACAAGGAGUGUAGCGUGCACGCACACAAGCAGUACAAUAACUGGUGGCUGUAUGUCGACGUUUUUUAGGUAGACAUAAUUUUGUAGUGUAGACAUGGCAUAAGUCAGAGUCUCCCUCUUAAAUUAUCUUCAAUUUUAAUUUCCCUUUUUAAAAAAAGCUUUAUUUUCAGCGCUUUUACUCUCAUUUGCCAUCCUGCAAAAGUGAAGAAUGGACAAUAAAUCCAGAGGGUUUAUAUAAACUAAGAGAAACCAAUACCAAACCACAGGAUCAGAUUACAAUGUUUAAAGAGCAUCAUCUUUCCACCAUAUAGUGAAGUUAUCCAGUGAAGUCUGUGUGAUGUUUUGAGGAACAUGAUAUAUUCCCUUAACUCUGGAAACCACUGUUAGAUGCAUUAAGAAUAGCUAACAUAUUGAUUGCUCAUUUGGACAGCUGAAUAAAGUAGCUGCUGCCUGAAACAUCCUGGAGUAAUCAGUGAAGGCCAUUUAUCAGCAUGCUGUUCAGCUCAAAAUCCUUUCUCAGAUCGACUGAUGCAGGGUCUUGUGUGUGGUGAGAGUCUUAACUGCUUUUUAAAUGCAGUUAUUUUAUUACCUGGGUUCCUCAUUGCUGGGGUUCAUGGAUCACAGCCAAUGACGUUUUGUCUGUUGCCAUAACCCCAUCAUCAGUUGAACAGUGAUGAUUCAGAACAGUUGGAGGCUGAGAGUUUGACAAAUCUUCUGUCACUUAAACAGCACAAAGGCUGGGCAGUAUCGAAGGAAUGUGCUGUCAUGGAGUUGCUGCUGAUGCCGCUUGAGGGUGUUCUUUCACCCCACAGAGUAGGACACACAUUCACAGGCAGGCUCUUCACGAUCAGAAUUUUCGAAUUCUCCCCACCACUAUCCAGAAAUCACAUACAAUAAUUAGAAUGAUUGUUUAUUUGUAUUACGGUAACACCUAGAGGAUCCAUUGUGUUAGCCACUGUACAUCUACACAAUGAAAAGAUGGUCACUGGCCCAAAAAGCAGGUCCUUCUUGCAUUUUAGUUUGCAUAAUGACAGGUGGUGUCUACAUCUGAGUGGUGGAUCAAUUGAUUCUUCUUCAGAUAGGGGAAAAUCCUAAGGUUAUACUCAGAGUUUGACAGACUUUGACAGUCUAUACUUCAGCAAAAUUCCCAGUGACUCCUAUUUUGCCUGAGUAAAAAUGGAGUAAGGAUUUCAGGGCCCCAUUCUGACACCCUUACUCAUUCAAUCCCACUGAAAUCAACAGGCCUACUCAUCUGAGUAAAGAUGAACAUGCAGGGAACUCCAGUUUAGGCCUUGGCUUGAUGAGGGUUUAAAGUGUGAUGUUAGCACAUUUUAGCCAACAUGUACGAACUAACAGUAGUUUGCAGUGUUGCUGUAGUUGUGUUGGUCCCAGGAUAUGAAAGAAACAAGGUGGGUGAGGUAAUAUCUUUUAUUGGACCAACUUCUAUUGGUGUAAGAGACAAGCUUUCGAGCUACACAGAGCUCUUCUUCAGGUCUCGGGAAGGAACCAGUGACUGAGCAGCUGAGCUAAAUACAAAUUGGGACAGAUUGUUAAACAGACAGGGUAAUGCAUGUAACCCUCAAUUGCCCACUUCAUUUUGAGUGAUCACCUCCAACAAGUUUAGCAUAUCUGGCCCAUAAAUACCUUGCAAUGCCAGCUACAAAAGUGCCUGGCGAAUGCCUGUCUUUCAGGUGACAUUGUAAAUAAGAAGCAGGCAGCAUUAUCUCCCAUAAAUCAUAAUGGAAACAAACUUGUUUGUCUCGGUGUUUGGCUGAACAAGAAGUACGGUGGAGUAGACUUGUAGGCUCUAAAAUUUUUACAUUGUUUUGUUUCUGAGUGCAGUUAUAACAAAAAAAGUUGUAAGUUGACUUUCACGAUAAAAAGAUCGCACUACAGUACUUGUGAU